This is a long non-coding RNA of Rana temporaria (common frog), 144 nucleotides long. RefSeq lists it as uncharacterized. The transcript is spliced from 3 exons. Lineage: Eukaryota; Metazoa; Chordata; Amphibia; Anura; Ranidae. The record is from RefSeq and is a predicted model, not a curated record.
CUAGAAGUCACCAAGAAGAUGAUGGAGCUGCUGACAGGAGAGGAGUGGGAUUAUUUAGAAGAAGGACACAAGGAUCUCUACAAGGACGUCAUGAUGGACAAUCAGCCGCCCCUCACAUCACCGGAUGGAUCCAGUAAUGGGAAC